GACGAACGCUGGCGGCGUGCUUAACACAUGCAAGUCGAACGGUGAAGCUCCAGCCUGCUGGAGUGGAUCAGUGGCGAACGGGUGAGUAACACGUGAGCAACCUGCCCCUGACUCUGGAAUAAGCGCUGGAAACGGCGUCUAAUACUGGAUACGAGAAGGGUCCGCAUGGGCACUUUCUGGAAAGUUUUUCGGUUGGGGAUGGGCUCGCGGCCUAUCAGCUUGUUGGUGAGGUAAUGGCUCACCAAGGCGACGACGGGUAGCCGGCCUGAGAGGGCGACCGGCCACACUGGGACUGAGACACGGCCCAGACUCCUACGGGAGGCAGCAGUGGGGAAUAUUGCACAAUGGGCGAAAGCCUGAUGCAGCGACGCCGCGUGAGGGAUGACGGCCUUCGGGUUGUAAACCUCUUUCAGCAGGGAAGAAGCGAAAGUGACGGUACCUGCAGAAGAAGCACCGGCUAACUACGUG
This 468-nucleotide ribosomal RNA is filed under the name uncultured bacterium. Its description in RNAcentral is "partial 16S ribosomal RNA". It matches the Rfam family "Bacterial small subunit ribosomal RNA", at positions 28 to 507 of the family's 1533-position model. The record is from RNAcentral.